CCCUCUUGUGGGGAAUAACUUUGGGAAACCGAAGCUAAUACCGCAUAAGUCCGAGAGGAGAAAGCAGAAAUGCGCAGGAGGAGGAGUCCGCGGCCGAUUAGCUAGUUGGUGAGGUAAUGGCUCACCAAGGCAACGAUCGGUAGCCGGCCUGAGAGGGCACACGGCCACACUGGCACUGAGACACGGGCCAGACUCCUACGGGAGGCAGCAGUGGGGAAUCUUGCACAAUGGGGGAAACCCUGAUGCAGCGACGCCGCGUGAGCGAUGAAGCCCUUCGGGGUGUAAAGCUCUUUCGACGGGAACGAUUAUGACGGUACCCGGAGAAGAAGCUGCGGCUAACUACGUGCCAGCAGCCGCGGUAAUACGUAGGCAGCAAGCGUUGUUCGGAGUUACUGGGCGUAAAGAGUACGUAGGCGGUUUGCUAAGUCUGGUGUGAAAUCUCCUGGCUUAACUGGGAGGGUGCGCUAGAUACUGGCAGGCUUGAGUAUGGGAGAGGAGAGUGGAAUUC
This 508-nucleotide ribosomal RNA is filed under the name uncultured Candidatus Amoebophilus sp. RNAcentral's name for it is "bacterial SSU rRNA". It matches the Rfam family "Bacterial small subunit ribosomal RNA", at positions 129 to 669 of the family's 1533-position model. The record is from RNAcentral. Lineage: Bacteria; Pseudomonadati; Bacteroidota; Cytophagia; Cytophagales; Amoebophilaceae.